This 649-nucleotide ribosomal RNA is filed under the name Salmonella enterica. Its description in RNAcentral is "partial 23S ribosomal RNA". It matches the Rfam family "Bacterial large subunit ribosomal RNA", at positions 1109 to 1757 of the family's 2925-position model. The record is from RNAcentral. Lineage: Bacteria; Pseudomonadati; Pseudomonadota; Gammaproteobacteria; Enterobacterales; Enterobacteriaceae. RNAcentral also lists the same sequence under 1 other name.
GAAGCAGCCAUCAUUUAAAGAAAGCGUAAUAGCUCACUGGUCGAGUCGGCCUGCGCGGAAGAUGUAACGGGGCUAAACCAUGCACCGAAGCUGCGGCAGCGACGCUGAUGCGUUGUUGGGUAGGGGAGCGUUCUGUAAGCCUGUGAAGGUGGCCUGUGAGGGUUGCUGGAGGUAUCAGAAGUGCGAAUGCUGACAUAAGUAACGAUAAAGCGGGUGAAAAGCCCGCUCGCCGGAAGACCAAGGGUUCCUGUCCAACGUUAAUCGGGGCAGGGUGAGUCGACCCCUAAGGCGAGGCCGAAAGGCGUAGUCGAUGGGAAACGGGUUAAUAUUCCCGUACUUGGUGUUACUGCGAAGGGGGGACGGAGAAGGCUAUGUUGGCCGGGCGACGGUUGUCCCGGUUUAAGCGUGUAGGUGUGUGUUCCAGGUAAAUCCGGUUCACUUUAACACUGAGGCGUGAUGACGAGGCACUACGGUGCUGAAGCAACAAAUGCCCUGCUUCCAGGAAAAGCCUCUAAGCAUCAGGUAACAUCAAAUCGUACCCCAAACCGACACAGGUGGUCAGGUAGAGAAUACCAAGGCGCUUGAGAGAACUCGGGUGAAGGAACUAGGCAAAAUGGUGCCGUAACUUCGGGAGAAGGCACGCUGACAC